UACGAAGGGGGCUAGCGUUGCUCGGAAUUACUGGGCGUAAAGCGCACGUAGGCGGCUUUCUAAGUCGGGGGUGAAAUCCUGGAGCUCAACUCCAGAACUGCCUUUGAUACUGGCAACCUUGAGUCCGGGAGAGGUGAGUGGAACUGCGAGUGUAGAGGUGAAAUUCGUAGAUAUUGGGAAGAACACCGGUGGCGAAGGCGGCGACCUGGUCCAUAACUGACGCUGAGGCGCGAAAGCGUGGGGAGCAAACAGG
This 253-nucleotide ribosomal RNA is filed under the name uncultured bacterium. RNAcentral's name for it is "partial 16S ribosomal RNA". It matches the Rfam family "Bacterial small subunit ribosomal RNA", at positions 524 to 776 of the family's 1533-position model. The record is from RNAcentral.